This 305-nucleotide ribosomal RNA is filed under the name uncultured bacterium. RNAcentral's name for it is "bacterial SSU rRNA". It matches the Rfam family "Bacterial small subunit ribosomal RNA", at positions 338 to 660 of the family's 1533-position model. The record is from RNAcentral.
CCUACGGGGGGCAGCAGCAAGGGAUAUUGGUCAAUGGGGGAAACCCUGAACCAGCAACGCCGCAUGAGGGAAGACGGUUUUCGGAUUGUAAACCUCUGUCCUCUGUGAAGAUAAUGACGGUAGCAGAGGAGGAAGCUCCGGCUAACUACGUGCCAGCAGCCGCGGUAAUACGUAGGGAGCGAGCGUUGCCCGGAUUUACUGGGUGUAAAGGGUGCGUAGGCGGGUAAGCAAGUCAGAAGUGAAAACUACGGGCUUAACUUGUAGACUGCCGUUGAAACUGGUUUUCUUGAGUGAAGUAGAGGUUG